GUGUCAGCCGCCGCGGUAAGACGGAGGAUGCAAGUGUUAUCCGGAAUCACUGGGCGUAAAGCGUCUGUAGGUGGUUCGAAAAGUCCACUGUUAAAAAUUGAGGCUUAACUUCAAAGAUGCCGUGGAAACUUUCAAACUAGAGUAUGGUAGGGGUAGAGGGAAUUUCCAGUGGAGCGGUGAAAUGCGUAGAUAUUGGAAAGACCACCGAUGGCGAAGGCACUCUACUGGGCCAUUACUGACACUGAGAGACGAAAGCUAGGGGAGCAAAUGGGAUUAGAAACCCCCGUAGUCC
Molecule: ribosomal RNA, 292 nt
Filed under: uncultured bacterium
Lineage: Bacteria
Description: partial 16S ribosomal RNA
Rfam family: Bacterial small subunit ribosomal RNA
Source: RNAcentral